RNAcentral lists this small nucleolar RNA (110 nucleotides) under Bemisia tabaci. Its description in RNAcentral is "small nucleolar RNA SNORD67". It matches the Rfam family "Small nucleolar RNA SNORD67". Rfam says of the family: snoRNA HBII-166 belongs to the C/D family of snoRNAs. Lineage: Eukaryota; Metazoa; Arthropoda; Insecta; Hemiptera; Aleyrodidae. The record is from RNAcentral.
GAUAAUAACGCUGAGCCGACUUUUGGUGGCGCCGAUUCAGAUGAACCGGAGCCUCCUCUCAGAAACGAGUUGGUGACAUCAUCCACUGUAAAAGUGGUUUCGGAUUAGUC